RNAcentral lists this transfer RNA (76 nucleotides) under Plantactinospora alkalitolerans. RNAcentral's name for it is "Plantactinospora sp. S1510 tRNA-Leu". It matches the Rfam family "tRNA". Rfam says of the family: Transfer RNA (tRNA) molecules are approximately 80 nucleotides in length. The record is from RNAcentral. Lineage: Bacteria; Bacillati; Actinomycetota; Actinomycetes; Micromonosporales; Micromonosporaceae.
GCCCCGAUAGCCCAAUCGGCAGAGGUGCCGUCCUCAAAAGGCGGAUGUGCGGGUUCGAAUCCCGCUCGGGGUACCA